Molecule: transfer RNA, 82 nt
Filed under: Diaporthe ampelina
Lineage: Eukaryota; Fungi; Ascomycota; Sordariomycetes; Diaporthales; Diaporthaceae
Rfam family: tRNA
About the family: Transfer RNA (tRNA) molecules are approximately 80 nucleotides in length.
Source: Rfam by way of RNAcentral
GCCCGUUUAGCUCAUCGGUAGAGCGCAUCACUAGUACCAAUUAGCGAUGAUGAGGUGACUGGUUCGAUUCCAGUAAUGGGCA